Zophobas morio is the source of this 462-nucleotide long non-coding RNA. RefSeq lists it as uncharacterized. The record is from RefSeq and is a predicted model, not a curated record. Lineage: Eukaryota; Metazoa; Arthropoda; Insecta; Coleoptera; Tenebrionidae. The transcript has 3 exons.
GAAUUAAUAAGUAGCCUUUUGCUUCCAGACACUUUGGGUCCAGUUUUUUGCUCUUCCUUGACUGUUUGCAUUUUCAAGUUUGCUUUUAGCAAGUUUUAAAAUGUCUGAUCAAAGGAUUCAGGACACCCAAAGACAAGUCGAUGAAGUUGUCGAUAUAAUGAGACAGAAUGUUAGCCAGGUAAUUGAAAGAGAUGAAAAACUUACAAAUAUAGAUGACAAAAGUGAAGCUUUAGUUUCUGGCGCUAAUAGAUUCCAGAAAACUUCGACCCAAGUGAAGCGUAGACUUUGGUGGAAAAAUGUUUGGUGGACCAUGGCUAUUGUAGGUGUAAUACUAUUAAUAGUAUUAAUUAUUCUUUUGAUUGCUCAACCCUGGAAGAAAAAAUAGAACAGAUUUUAUGUCUUUUAUCUUUUUUGUCCCUGAUAAUUUAAGUUCGUAUGAUUAAAUAAACUUUUCUGAGUGAG